UCGAGCGGAGANGAGGUGCUUGCACCUUAUCUUAGCGGCGGACGGGUGAGUAAUGCUUAGGAAUCUGCCUAUUAGUGGGGGACAACAUUUCGAAAGGAAUGCUAAUACCGCAAACGCCCUACGGGGGAAAGCAGGGGAUCUUCGGACCUUGCGCUAAUAGAUGAGCCUAAGUCGGAUUAGCUAGUUGGUGGGGUAAAGGCCUAACAAGGCGACGAUCUGUAGCGGGUCUGAGAGGAUGAUCCGCCACACUGGGACUGAGACACGGCCCAGACUCCUACGGGAGGCAGCAGUGGGGAAUAUUGGACAAUGGGGGGAACCCUGAUCCAGCCAUGCCGCGUGUGUGAAGAAGGCCUUUUGGUUGUAAAGCACUUUAAGCGAGGAGGAGGAGCUCUAGAUUAAUACUCUAGAUGCUUGGACGUUACUCGCAGAAUAAGCACCGGCUAACUCUGUGCCAGCAGCCGCGGUAAUACAGAGGGUGCAAGCGUUAAUCGGAUUUACUGGGCGUAAAGCGUGCGUAGGUGGUCUUUUAAGUCGGAUGUGAAAUCCCUGAGCUUAACUUAGGAAUUGCAUUCGAUACUGGGAGACUAGAGUAUGGGAGAGGAUGGUAGAAUUCCAGGUGUAGCGGUGAAAUGCGUAGAGAUCUGGAGGAAUACCGAUGGCGAAGGCAGCCAUCUGGCCUAAUACUGACACUGAGGUACGAAAGCAUGGGGAGCAAACAGGAUUAGAUACCCUGGUAGUCCAUGCCGUAAACGAUGUCUACUAGCCGUUGGGGUCUUUGAGACUUUAGUGGCGCAGCUAACGCGAUAAGUAGACCGCCUGGGGAGUACGGUCGCAAGACUAAAACUCAAAUGAAUUGACNGGGGGCCCGCACAAGCGGUGGANCAUGUGGUUUAAUUCGAUGCAACGCGAAGANCCUUAC
Molecule: ribosomal RNA, 919 nt
Filed under: uncultured bacterium
Lineage: Bacteria
Description: bacterial SSU rRNA
Rfam family: Bacterial small subunit ribosomal RNA
Source: RNAcentral